GUUACAAAAUCAUGUUCCUGUUUUCAUUUUACUCAAUCGGAUUGCAACUAAUACAUUUUUUUGUUCAAACUCAUUAUGUUUUCAUGUUUGCAUUUUCCUAUAUUUUUUGCCUUUGUAGAACAGAUACUAUGGAAUUGAGAUGUUUGGUUCUACAUAUAUAGUGUAGGCAUUGAAUAAAAUCAGGUCUGCAUACUUAUUUUUGUGCAAUCAAAGUAGCUGUUAGUGGGUUCCUACUUCCUAGAAUGACAAUGUUGGUUUGGUUGAGAAGGAUCUUGGAAAUCAGAAAGUCUUGCUCUCAGGCAUCAAUCUCGAUGAGGAUGCAAAACCAAGAGGGGACAACUGUGAACAGUGGUCAUUGUUCGUCGGCACUGCUCAAGCAUCAUUGACGUUGGCGCUGGCCUCCUCUGUACAAGGCCAGGGACACCGUUGUAAUAGAGUUGUUGAUAUCGAUGUCGUCCGUGAACUGACUGUCGAGAAGGCCUCCGUGGAUACCUAAGGCAUGCAGCUCCUCAUUACUUUGGUGUACUGACCCCAAGGCCGGUGCUGUUGACCCCAAGGCCGAGAACAAGGUGCUAGAUUGAAGAUGGCGCAGAACAUUGCCAUCUUGCUGCUCGUGCUGAAUGUGAUCAAGAAGAGGUCUGCAACGUGCUCUGUGAUGGUGAAAAAAUCCUCGCUGCACUACUUGCUAGAUUUCAGUCAUUUUGAUUUGCUGCUUACAUGCUGCAUUUUCACGCCCGCAUAGGAUUAGUUUUGCUUGUCAGUUGUGUCUGACCAUCUUCAGCUUAUGACUGGACUACAGGCUACAACCAUGCUUGUUCGUAUAUUUAGUAUAUUUAGCUAUGUUUCUUUUUGGCGAUUUAGUACCCACUAUACCUAUGCCUGUGGAAGUCUAGAUCACCAUCUCUUCAGGAGUAAGCAUCUGGCAUCUGCUACUUUAUUUUAGACAUAUGUUGCCAGCUUCAGAUAUGUUCUUGACAACACUACCAUCUAGAGAAAUGUGAAAAUAUGUUGUUACAUGGGACUAUACAUACCUACUGUAUAUUUAGACCUGACACGAAUCUAAGUAUAUAGGAAAACUGCCAACUAUUUAUUAAAAAUAUAGACUUAUUACAUGGAAGGAUCGGGUGACAAAGGUAUGUGCUUUUCUUUUGGUUGCUAUUGUUCAGUUCUCCAAUCACUUAUCAUCUGUGCUUCUCAUGCAGGCUAUAGAGAAGAUAAAAUCUGCCAGGAAUAAAUCAUCGCAAGGAAGGUGAGUAUCUCUUGGCAUCUUGUACAAACUACAAAGUGCAGGUGAGUAUAUUUGCUUCUUUAAAUUGAUCUUACUGCCCUAAAACUACUAAUUCUCGACUUCAUGUGACCAGACUAGAUUUUUUUUUAAUCCAGUUGCCACCACAUCAGCACCACUGCAACGGAAAGUACCUCCAGAAAAUGUGACCCCAACUUUCAUGAUUAUAUGUUAUUCUUAGCCUUCUCUGUAGUCAUCAAUUCUAGAUAGGGCAUCUCAGUCUAUGCAGGCCAGGUAGCAAUUAGGUCAAUAGAAGCUGUAUCUUACAAGCAUGUCCUCGAGACACAUGGCAGCACUUUUUCAUUUAAAGUCAUAUGUUACUCAUCUAAAUGCACUAUAGGGUUGUUCUUCUGCAUGCCAGUUGUGUUUGAAGAGAUUGUGUAAACAAAACUUAAUUAUUAUGGUUGUUAGUUCUUAGUUCAUGUCUGUACAACUUCCUCCUGUUCUUUAAAGCAUAUAUGUUGCAAAUUUUAAGGCGGUUAUGUUGCUGUUUUGCACUUUGCCCGGUAAUGUGCUUGAUCCAAUGGUCGAGCUCAGUGCUUGUGCAAAGCACACAUGCUGUCCACGGGAAUAGUCACCACAAACGGUUGCAAGUGGAAACCAAAACCUUGUUCGUGGACGGCGGUAAUGUUUCACGUGAUCUUGUUUAUUUGUCUCUGGUCAAGCGC
Molecule: long non-coding RNA, 1953 nt
Organism: Zea mays
Lineage: Eukaryota; Viridiplantae; Streptophyta; Magnoliopsida; Poales; Poaceae
Exons: 4
Source: RefSeq, a predicted model, not a curated record